Molecule: transfer RNA, 70 nt
Filed under: Megalops atlanticus (tarpon)
Lineage: Eukaryota; Metazoa; Chordata; Actinopteri; Elopiformes; Megalopidae
Description: tRNA-OTHER
Source: RNAcentral
CACAGUGUAGUAUAGUGGUAGGAUGCAGGGCUUGUAACCAAAAGGUUGCUGGUUCAAUUCCCCACUGGGG